This 397-nucleotide ribosomal RNA is filed under the name uncultured bacterium. RNAcentral's name for it is "partial 16S ribosomal RNA". It matches the Rfam family "Bacterial small subunit ribosomal RNA", at positions 338 to 732 of the family's 1533-position model. The record is from RNAcentral.
CCUACGGGUGGCAGCAGUGAGGAAUAUUGGUCAAUGGUCGAGAGCCUGAACCAGCCAAGUCGCGUGAAGGAUGACUGCCCUACGGGUUGUAAACUUCUUUUGUCAGGGAACAAAUUGUUCCACGCGUGGGCUUAUGGAUGUACCUUAAGAAAAAGGAUCGGCUAACUCCGUGCCAGCAGCCGCGGUAAUACGGAGGAUUCGAGCGUUAUCCGGAUUUAUUUGGGUUAAAGGGUGCGGAGGUGGGCUGUUAAGUCAGGGGGUAAAGGUUGGGGGCCAACCCCCGUCGUGCCGUUGAAACUGGCAGUCUGGAGUGGGAGAGAAGUAUGCGGAAUGCGCGGUGUAGCGGUGAAAUGCAUAGAUAUCGCGAAGAACUCCGAUUGCGAAGGCAGCAUGCCGG